UUGAUUAUUUUGCUAUGUUGGGAUGGCAAGAGUUGGUGUUGAAUUUAAACUCUGAUGAUGGAGGGAUCCCACAUCAGUAAGCUAACAUAGGAGUGGAUGCGAAGCUGGCUUUAAAUAGAGAGAACUAUGAGGAGAGCAAAUGUACCUUUCUUGGCUGAUCCCUUUCGCGUUAUGGCGUGCUCGUUUGGGUUGGGCAUCGGCUAGAAGUGCUCAGAGUGCGGAUUAACUCCAGUCUCCUAUCAGGUGUGUAUUUAUCACUACUCUUGUUGUUGGAUGGCUACUUCGGGCCGCGAUGGGCCGAAAGGGGCCAUGUGGCCGAAUGGGCCUACGGGCCCAAUUGGAUAAGUUGUUUGAUUGUGUAGUAAAUAUUGGACUAGGCUAGGUGAAUCGAAUAUCUGUGGCUAGGUUUGGGCUAAAAGGGCCACACAAGCGUGUGGGCCCAUUUGGGCCGAGAAUAGGCUUUAGGCCCAUUCGUAUUGUUAUCUAUGUUUAGAAUACUUUAGUUUACCAAUUACUGAAAUGCCCUCUACUUGUAAAAUUACCAAAGUACUCCCGGUUUACAGAAUUACCAUUUUACCCUCAGUUUACAGAAUUACCAUUUUACCCUCAAUUUACAGAAUUACCAUUUUACCCUCAGUUUACAGAAUUACUAUUUUACCCUCGAUUUAUAGAAUUAUCGUUUUACCCUCGAUUUACAAAAUUACCAAAAUACCCCUAGUUUAUAAAAUUACAAAAAUACCCAUGGUUUGCGAAAUUACUAAAAUACCCCUGUAGGGUAGAAUAAUCGAAAUACCCCUGUAGGGUAGAAUUAUCAUUUUGCCCCUAGGGUGUUAAAUGACUAUUUUGCCCUUGUGGGCAAGUGACUGACUUGGACUGUGUGAUAUAGACAACUUUGGAGGAGCAGCGAGGCUUGGAGUAUCGACUUGGAUAAGCUUGAAUCGUAUUAUUGGACCCUGUGAAGGUAAGCAACUUAUGGUCAAUAAGGGUUCUUUGGCCGAAUAAGGUAGGGUGGAUUUUGAGUUUAUUAAGCAUAACUUGUAUGCUAAAAAUGGUGAUGAAUAAUUGUAAGACAUCGUAAGGGAUCUCAGUAGCAGUCGUCGCGAAACAGGUGUGUACCGAACACCCUUUCUUAGUUCAAUUCGGCAAAAGCCGAAAUGCAGAAAUUCUGGCAUUUCAUAGGCUUGUGGGCAUGCGAAUGCUCUCAAGACAUAGAGUAAUUGUUAGAUCUAACACCGCAAAGUGGUAAGUAAGUUCGUGUGACAUUUUAGCGUACUUAGAAUAAAGGGGCCAGAUGGGCCAAAAUUGGGCCCAAUGGGCUUACAGACCAAUAUGGGUAAGAUAUGGGCAAAGUAGCAUGUUAGUUAGAUGGUGGAACCAAAUUGCAUAAAAUGGCUAAAAAAAAAUUACUGAAAUAACGUGUGUAGUUGCGUAAGUACGAAAUUACCCCUCAGGGCAUAAAUACCGAAAUACCCCUAGGGUUUAAAUUGGCUAAACUGCAUGAUUGAUUAAUACUAUAUUGUACAUGAUAUGCUUUAUUAAUAUCUGUUGCAUGGGAUUGGGUUAUUGAUGGAGGAAGUAUUGAAAGUGGUUCAUCCACGUACUGGAGGCUUUGCCUCAACUUACUGAUAUUUGAGCAGUGUUGCUGCAACUGUGGAGUGUAGGGCUGGGUGGGUUGAGAUAUUCCCCACAUGGAGUGUAGGGCUGGUACGGGGCAGUGUAGCGGUUGGUGGGUUGAGUAGUCUCCCCAGAUGGGUUUGCAUGCAUUACUACUAUUGUUACCUAUGUUACUGAACUGGGCCUAUGGGCCACACUGUUAUGUAAAAAAAAGGGCUAAGGCCUUGCUACUGUGUUCUGAAAAGGGCUUGGGUCCACUGUGUACUGUUAUCUGAAUAGGGCUUAGGCCCAAUGGGCUCGAGCUGAUUUGGGCUUUGGAUGGGUUUCUGUAUACACUGAGCUUUCCCAAACUCAGCCCUUCCUCUUCCAUCCUUGCAGGUGAGCCCUAGUUGGUGGACUUGGAGCUGGGCGGGAUUCAGAGUGGCCAUGAAGAUUGAUUGCCGAUUUUAAAAAGUUUAGCAUUUAAUUUGGAUUGUUUUUAUUGUGCUUAAAGUUGUAAUAAGGCCGUUCUUUUUAAUUAAUUUUAUUUUGGGGAUUAUUAAACUGGUUAGCACUAGGGUUCGUUUUAUAAAAACUACUUGUUUUUAAAAGAUCACGAUGACGCGCAAAGUUUCCGCAAAGUAAAUGUUUUUCCAAGAAAAUAAAUAUUUUAAGCAAACGUUUUUCAACCUUAAUCACUUUCUUAAGAUGGACAUCAUCAAACGGUUUUCUCAAAAUUAUACAAGAUGUUAGAGUGUGGCAAUGGCGGUGUGCAUGUCUAGGAUUGGAUCCGAAGGGAGCUUGGUACUUAAGCAGUCUGACGGUCUAACCUCCUCUUCUUCCUGGUUUCCUACCUGGUGCACAGCUUCCGUUCACUUUAACCUACUUUUAAAAGUGUCUUUUACAACACCAACUAAAAUUUUCCAAACUAAGUAAUACGGAAUGUUUUGAACGCUUCGAUGUGGCGCAUCAGAUCCGGUCAUAACGUCUAGGCUGGGUUUGGGGUGUUACAUUUAGUGGUAUCAGAGCCUGGUUACAACAACUUGGCUGUGGAUCGGGUCUGAAAAUCUUAAAAAAAGUUUUUUUCUAUAGGUUUUUCAAAGAUGUUCAAAGUUUUUCUAUUGAACGAGGUUAAAUCAAUAGUUUUAAAAUAAAAGUGUUUUCAAAUGAAAUCUUUUUAUUUUCGGUAUUCAAAAACAUGGGUUUUUAUGGACUGAUAAAGAAGUGGCACACUGAAUCCCCGGCAUCAAGUCUGUAAGUGUUCUUUUUCUGCUUUAAAUAUUUAUAUGGAACUGGACUGGAAAUAAUACUAUAGAUAGUACUGAGCCUUAGAGAUAGUGCUAUUGAUAAGGUAGUAUUAGGGCUACAAAACUGAGACUGUAGCUAAAUUGUGAUUGCGCGAAAAUAACUCUGAAACUUUAUCUGUUCAUAAGACAUUCUGUAAUAAACAGUGGAAACAGUAAACUAACGUCAUAAAAUUCAUAAUCAGAUAAAUCGAUAUGAGUUCGAGGGCUGCCCGAGAAAGAGGCCAUGGUCGAGGCCGAGGUAGUACUCAAGCUGGAUCUGCGUCCUCUGAACAUAUACCAGCUGGCGGGGCACGACCACCACCGGUUAAUGAAAAUGGGCCAUAUGAUCGGGCCGCAGGGGAUGACGCUUUGUCUCAAGCGAUGUUAAGGAUUUUGGAAAGGGUUGCUGGAGCUAGCACCGGGAUAGUGAUAGUAGGAUCAGAGUGCGCAGCGGUAGCGUAGUGGGGUAGAUGUUAGAUGACUACCCUAUUAAAUGGAAAUUUCGAAGACGAAAUUUCUUUAAGGGAGGUAGAGUUGUAACACCCUGAAUUUGGGCCUAGAAGUUUGGGCCUUGAGCAUGGGAGCGGUUGAAGGCAGCUUUUAAUAUUUUGUUGUGCAUGUAAAUUUUGUUAAUGAAGACUUGUUUUAGUGGUUAAGUGUGUUGAGAAGUGUUGGAGAAGUCUUGGGUUCAAACCUGGACUCUAGUAAAAAUUUAAGGUAGAUCAAACCCUGGGUGUAGUAGGUAGGCCUUAAGAAUAUUGUUGGAGAAAUUGUGACACAAAAAGGAGUGUGGUGUAGUGGCAAGGUGACGCCACUUAGGGGACAAGGAAGUGACGCCAUAGAGGAACAAGGGGUCCAAGGUUCAAGUCUUGGCUCUUGCAAUAUAUUUUGGUUUUUCUUUUCAAUAAAUCUAGAAGCAAGUAGGUGCACUUUAAAGUUUAAUGUGUUGGAUUUAUGACACAAAUGAGUUGGUGGCCUAGUGGUGAUGGCGUGAGUUGGCAUAUAGGAGGACUUUGGUUCGAAUCCCUUGGCAUGCAAAGGUUGAUUAUUUUGCUAUGUUGGGAUGGCAAGAGUUGGUGUUGAAUUUAAACUCUGAUGAUGGAGGGAUCCCACAUCGGUAAGCUAACAUAGGAGUGGAUGCGAAGCUGGCUUUAAAUAGAGAGAACUAUGAGGAGAGCAAAGGUACCUUUCUUGGCUGAUCCCUUUCGCGUUAUGGCGUGCUCGUUUGGGUUGGGCAUCGGCUAGAAGUGCUCAGAGCACGGAUUAACUCCAGUCUCCUAUUAGGUGUGUAUUUAUCACUACUCUUGUUGUUGGAUGGCUAAUUCGGGCCGCGAUGGGCCGAAAGGGGCCAUGUGGGCCGAAUGGGCCUAUGGGCCCAAUUGGAUAAGUUGUUUGAUUGUGUAGUAAAUAUUGGACUAGGCUAGGUGAAUCGAAUAUCUGUGGCUAGUUUGGGCUAAAAGGGCCACACGAGCGUGUGGGCCCAUUUGGGCUGAGAAUAGGCUUUAGGCCCAUUCGUAUUGUUAUCCAUGUUUAGAAUACUUUAGUUUACCAAUUACUGAAAUGCCCUCGACUUGUAAAAUUACCAAAGUACUCCCGAUUUAUAGAAUUAUCGUUUUACCCUCAGUUUACAGAAUUACCAUUUUACCCUCAAUUUCAAGAAUUACCAUUUUACCCUCAGCUACAUAAUUACUAUUUUACCCUCGAUUUAUAGAAUUAUCGUUUUACCCUCGAUUUACAAAAUUACCAAAAUACCCCUGGUUUAUAAAAUUACCAAAAUACCCAUGGUAUGCAAAAUUACUAAAAUACCCCUGUAGGGUAAAAUUAUCGAAAUACCCUUGUAGGAUAGAAUUACUAUUUUGCCCCUAGGGUGUUAAAUGACUAUUUUGCCCUUGUGGGCAAGUGACUGACUUGGACUGUGUGAUAUAGACAACUUUGGAGGAGCAGCGAGGCUUGAAGUAUCGACUUGGAUAAGCUUGAAUCGUAUUAUUGGAGCCUGUGAAGGUAAGCAACUUAUGGUCAAUAAGGGUUCUUUGGCCGAAUAAGGUAGGGUGGAUUUUGAGUUUAUUAAGCAUAACUUGUAUGUUAAAAAUGGUGAUGAAUAAUUGUAGGACAUCGUAAGGGAUCUCAGUAGCAGUCGUCGCGAAACAGGUGUGUACCGAACACCCUUUCUUAGUUCAAUUCGGCAAAAGCCGAAAUGCCGAAAUUCUGGCAUUUCAUAGGCUUGUGGGUAUGCGAAUGCUCUCAAGACAUAGAGUAAUUGUUAGAUCUAACACCGCAAAGUGGUAAGUAAGUUCGUGUGACAUUUUAGCGUACUUCGGAAAAAGGGGCCAGAUAGGCCAAAACUGGGCCCAAUGGGCUUACGGACCAAUAUGGGUAAGAUAUGGGCAAAGUAGCAUGUUAGCUAGAUGGUGGAACCAAAUUGCAUAAAACGGCUAAAAAAAUUUACUGAAAUAACGUGUGUAGUUGCGUAUGUACGAAAUUACCCCUCAGGGCAUAAAUACCGAAAUACCCCUAGGGUUUAAAUUGGCUAAACUGCAUGAUUGAUUAAUACUAUAUUGUACAUGAUAUGCUUUAUUAAUAUCUGUUGCAUGGGAUUGGGUUAUUGAUGGAGGAAGUAUUGAAAGUGGUUCAUCCACGUACUGGAGGCUUUGCCUCAACUUACUGAUAUUUGAGCAGCGUUGCUGCAACUGUGGAGUGUAGGGCUGGGUGGGUUGAGAUAUUCCCCACAUGGAGUGUAGGGCUGGUACGGGGCAGUGUAGCGGUUGGUGGGUUGAGUAGUCUCCCCAGAUGGGUUUGCAUGCAUUACUACUAUUGUUACCUAUGUUACUGAACUGGGCCUAUGGGCCACACUGUUAUGUAAAAAAAAGGGCUAAGGCCUUGCUACUGUGUUCUAAAAAGGGCUUGGGUCCACUGUGUACUGUUAUCUGAAUAGGGCUUAGGCCCAAUGGGCUCAAGCUGAUUUGGGCUUUGGAUGGGUUUCUGUAUACACUGAGUUUUCCCAAACUCACCCCUUCCUCUUCCAUCCUUGUAGGUGAGCCCUAGUUGGUGGACUUGGAGCUGGGCGGGAUUCAGAGUGGCCAUGAAGAUUGAUUGCCGAUUUUAAAUAAGUUUAGCAUUUAAUUUGGAUUAUUUUUAUUGUGCUUAAAGUUGUAAUAAGGCCGCUCUUUUUAAUUAAUUUUAUUUUGGGGAUUAUUAAACUGGUUAGCACUAGGGUUC
This 6095-nucleotide long non-coding RNA is filed under the name Gossypium barbadense (sea-island cotton). Its description in RNAcentral is "long non-coding RNA (GBAR_LNC012635)". The record is from RNAcentral. Lineage: Eukaryota; Viridiplantae; Streptophyta; Magnoliopsida; Malvales; Malvaceae.